This 497-nucleotide ribosomal RNA is filed under the name uncultured bacterium. RNAcentral describes it as "partial 16S ribosomal RNA". It matches the Rfam family "Bacterial small subunit ribosomal RNA", at positions 28 to 507 of the family's 1533-position model. The record is from RNAcentral.
GAUGAACGCUGGCGGCGUGCCUAAUACAUGCAAGUCGAGCGAACGGACGAGAAGCUUGCUUCUCUGAUGUUAGCGGCGGACGGGUGAGUAACACGUGGAUAACCUACCUAUAAGACUGGGAUAACUUCGGGAAACCGGAGCUAAUACCGGAUAAUAUUUUGAACCGCAUGGUUCAAAAGUGAAAGACGGUCUUGCUGUCACUUAUAGAUGGAUCCGCGCUGCAUUAGCUAGUUGGUAAGGUAACGGCUUACCAAGGCAACGAUGCAUAGCCGACCUGAGAGGGUGAUCGGCCACACUGGAAUUGAGACACGGUCCAGACUCCUACGGGAGGCAGCAGUGGGGAAUCUUCCGCAAUGGGCGAAAGCCUGACGGAGCAACGCCGCGUGAGUGAUGAAGGUCUUCGGAUCGUAAAACUCUGUUAUUAGGGAAGAACAUAUGUGUAAGUAACUGUGCACAUCUUGACGGUACCUAAUCAGAAAGCCACGGCUAACUACGUG